UUACGACCACAUCACGUUGAAACACCGAUUCCCGUACGAUCAUCGAAGUUAAGCAACACUGAACCUGGCCAGUGCCUAGAUGGGUGACCGUUUGUGAAUACCAGGCGCUGUAAG
Molecule: non-coding RNA, 114 nt
Organism: Acanthosepion pharaonis
Lineage: Eukaryota; Metazoa; Mollusca; Cephalopoda; Sepiida; Sepiidae
Source: the annotation of a GenBank genome assembly